GACCCCUAACUCUGUUUUUAUAAUGUUUUUCUGAGUAAACAAGCAAAUAAAUUAAAACUUUCAACAACGGAUCUCUUGGCUCUGGCAUCGAUGAAGAACGCAGCGAAAUGCGAUAAGUAAUGUGAAUUGCAGAAUUCAGUGAAUCAUCGAAUCUUUGAACGCACAUUGCGCCCGCCAGUAUUCUGGCGGGCAUGCCUGUUCGAGCGUCAUUACAACCCUCAGGCCCCCGGGCCUGGCGUUGGGGAUCGGCGGAAAGCCCCCUGUGGGCAUACGCCGUCCCCUAAAUACAGUGGCGGUCCCGCCGCAGCUUCCAUUGCGUAGUAGCUAACACCUCGCAACUGGAGAGCGGCGCGGCCAAGCCGUAAAACCCCCAACUUCUGAAUGUUGACCUCGAAUCAGGUAGGAAUACCCGCUGAACUUAAGCAUAUCAAUAAGCGGAGGA
RNAcentral lists this ribosomal RNA (442 nucleotides) under uncultured fungus. Its description in RNAcentral is "eukaryotic LSU rRNA". The stretch from base 56 to 209 matches the Rfam family "5.8S ribosomal RNA". The record is from RNAcentral. Lineage: Eukaryota; Fungi.